GUGGGGAAUUUUGGACAAUGGGCGCAAGCCUGAUCCAGCAAUGCCGCGUGCAGGAUGAAGGCCUUCGGGUUGUAAACUGCUUUUGUACGGAACGAAAAGCCCUGGGUUAAUACCCUGGGGUCAUGACGGUACCGUAAGAAUAAGCACCGGCUAACUACGUGCCAGCAGCCGCGGUAAUACGUAGGGUGCGAGCGUUAAUCGGAAUUACUGGGCGUAAAGCGUGCGCAGGCGGUUUUGUAAGACAGAGGUGAAAUCCCCGGGCUCAACCUGGGAACUGCCUUUGUGACUGCAAGGCUAGAGUACGGCAGAGGGGGAUGGAAUUCCGCGUGUAGCAGUGAAAUGCGUAGAUAUGCGGAGGAACACCGAUGGCGAAGGCAAUCCCCUGGGCCUGUACUGACGCUCAUGCACGAAAGCGUGGGGAGCAAACAGGAUUAGAUACCCGAGUAGUCC
Molecule: ribosomal RNA, 450 nt
Filed under: uncultured bacterium
Lineage: Bacteria
Description: partial 16S ribosomal RNA
Rfam family: Bacterial small subunit ribosomal RNA
Source: RNAcentral